AUGGCUUCUGCUGCGCUCCCGGAGGCGGCGGCGGCGGCGGCGGUCCAGCCCAAGAAGAAGGGCAACUUCAAGUACGCCUGCACCUGCGCCCUCUCCGCUUCCAUGGCCACCGUCGUCCUCGGCUACGACGUCGGGGUGAUGAGCGGCGCGUCGCUCUACAUCAAGGAGGACCUGCGCCUCACGGACGUGCAGGUGGAGAUCAUGAUGGGCAUCCUCAGCGUCUACGCGCUCCUCGGCUCCUUCGCCGGCGCCAGGACCUCCGACUGGAUCGGCCGCCGCUACACCGUCAUCAUCGCCGCCGCCAUCUUCUUCGUCGGCUCCCUGCUCAUGGGCUUCGCCGUCGACUACCUCAUGUUCAUGCUCGGCCGCUUCGUCUGCGGCAUGGGCGUCGGCUUCGCCAUCAUGGUCGCGCCCGUCUACACCGCCGAGGUCGCCCCGGCAUCCACCCGCGGCCUCCUCACCUCUUUCACCGAGGUCUUCAUCAACGUCGGCAUCCUCCUCGGCUACGUCUCCAACUACGCCUUCGCGCGCCUCCCGCACCACAUCAACUGGCGCAUCAUGCUCGGCGUGGGCGCCGUCCCCUCGGCCUUGCUCGCGCUCAUGGUGCUCGGCAUGCCGGAGUCGCCCCGCUGGCUCGUCAUGAAAGGCCGCCUCGCCGACGCCAGGGUCGUGCUGGAGAAGACCUCCGACACGCCAGAGGAAGCCGUCGAGCGCCUUGACCAAAUCAAGGCUGCCGCCGGCAUCCCCCACGACCUCGACGGCGACGUGGUCGCCGUGCCCAAGAGAAAAGGCGGCAACGAGAAGCAGGUGUGGAAGGAGCUCAUCUUUUCGCCCACCCCGGUCAUGCGCCGCAUACUGCUCGCCGCGCUCGGCGUCCAUUUCUUCCAGCAGGCCACCGGCUCCGACUCGGUCGUGCUCUACAGCCCACGCGUGUUCAAGAGCGCCGGCAUCACCGGCGACAACCACCUGCUCGGCGUCACGUGCGCCAUGGGGGUCACCAAGACCCUCUUCAUCCUCUUGGCCACCUUCCAGAUCGACCGUGUCGGCCGGCGGCCGCUGCUGCUCACCAGCACCGCCGGCAUGCUCGUCUGUCUCAUCGGCCUCGGCACGGGCCUCACCGUCGUGGGCCAGCACCCGGACGAGAAGAUCACGUGGGCGAUCGGCCUCUGCAUCGCCUCCACCUUGGCCUACGUCUCCUUCUUCUCCAUGGGCCUCGGCCCCAUCACCAGCGUCUACGUCUCCGAGGUCUUCCCGCUCCGGGUGCGCGCGCUCGGCUUCGCCCUCGGCGUCGCCUGCAACCGCGUCACCAGCGCCGCCAUCUCCAUGACCUUCCUCUCCCUGUCCAAGGCCAUCACCAUCGGCGGCAGCUUCUUCCUCUACGCCGGCCUCGCCGCGCUCGGCUGGCUCUUCUUCUACGCCUUCGUUCCCGAGACGCGCGGGCAGCCGCUCGAGGACAUAGGCAAGCUUUUCGGCAUGAAGGACGCCGCCGUCGAAGACGACGACCACCACCACACUGCAGCCACCAAAGACAAGCAGGUGAAAGCAGCUGCUGUGGAGAUGAAUUAA
This 1566-nucleotide ribosomal RNA is filed under the name Triticum aestivum (bread wheat). Its description in RNAcentral is "partial small subunit ribosomal RNA". The record is from RNAcentral. Lineage: Eukaryota; Viridiplantae; Streptophyta; Magnoliopsida; Poales; Poaceae.